UGUGGUAUUUGCUACCUCAUAACUAUAUUUUUCUACUGUUGUGAAUCAUAAUAUGAAUAUAUGAUAUGCGAGAUAUCUAAAGUGCAACUCCUGUGAAAAGGUCAUUCAAACGAGUCCGAUCCGGUAAAGAACCAAAGCCCUAAAGUAUGCGGAAGUACCACUUUAUCACACAAAAACACAUUGAAAAGCAGAGGCUCUGAUCCAGCUUUGCUGCCUGGAAAGGGAAUGUCUGUGGUAGGAAACAACGCUCUGGGUCUCGUGCACAAGGAGUCCCUCACCAGAAUAUCUUGGAGGUUCCUAUUUGGCUUAGAGGUGUAUUGAACACCUAUAUAGUGACUCAGCAGUACCGGAAUUAGAAGGGAGAAAUCUGUAGAGCUGAGAAUGAGGCAGAAUUCCACUCCCAACUCUGCAAAGAUUAGACUUUAUAUUUAGUCUGCCAUUACCCUCUGACCUCAGUGAAAAGGAUGAAGAUGACCAGGUAUUCUCAUUCUUCAACCAAAGCAUGGCCACAGUUUUGAAUGGGCUGCUGCAUCCUCUGCCAGGGUGUGAUGCCACAUCUGGAUUCUACUUGCUGCCCUGGUGAUUGGCAGAGCCUCACUGUUUCUUCUGGAAUGAACAGCCAUUGCUGAUUCGCAAUGGUGUUUGCAAGCAGACUGAGCUACCACUGUUGACUUCUGUGAUCUGAACGGCUGAUAUCCUGACAGUGCAGACAGAUUCACCUCAAAGAAGUAUUUCUAAACAGGUCCACAUCCUCCUGUGCUCUAUUAACCUUUCCUUUUCACGGUCUGGUGGGUGAUGGACUAGAGGGGAGGUUAAAGCACCUUAGAACCCUUAUUAAAGUGGGUUUGAAAAAUCUAAGCUUACAAAGGAGUCUUAUUUGGUACCAUUUGAAAUAUUUCCUUCUUAACUAUUUGAUGAGGCGCAAGCAUUGCCGCUAAAAUGACCUUCUGCUAAGGCCCAUUCCUUAGCGAGAUGCUCGUACACAUAAUUUUCAAAACCACUAGGCAAGCUGCAGAAGAACUUUCGUUUAUCUUUUAUGAGUGACAGAAAGAAUGGGCCUGUGGAGACCUGACAGAGUUGGGGCAGAAAGCUCCAUGAUGGGGCACCUUCUCAGCAUGCAUGAAGACCUGAAUUCUGUCUCUGGAACCACAAACCAGGCAUGAAAUCACAUCCAAGAACAAUCCAGGGAACAGAAUCCAUUUGAGGCUGGACAUUCUGCAGUCUCUUGAACUCUUCACCUUGCUGGUUUUGGGUUUCACUCUGUAACCCUGCUGUCCUGCAACUGACUACAUAGACCAGGAUGGCCUUGAACCCACUUAAGCUUCGUUUGCUUCUGCAUCCCAAAUGCUGGAAUUAAAGAGAUAAAGAAGACACCUUUCAUAUCAGUAACUGGAAGACAGUCAAGGAAACCUCUCUGAGAUCCUGAAUGGAACCCCACAUACAGCUUCCUGUUCCACUGGAAUCAGAGGCAGUUGGGGGAAAGUCUCAAAUCAUCACAUGGAGAAACAACCUCUACUACUUUUAAAUUCUGGUGAAGUGACUAACUUGAUGGUUGAAUAUGUGCUUCACACAUGUUCAGCAAUACAGUAGAAUAAUAAAUAACCAUGAUGUAAAGAUUUCCAAGGAUCAGCUUCUGCACUGCAUAAUUAUUAAUAAACCAAUAAUAUGCAA
This is a long non-coding RNA of Mus musculus (house mouse), 1671 nucleotides long. RefSeq annotates it as predicted gene, 36430. NCBI's taxonomy places the organism in Eukaryota, Metazoa, Chordata, Mammalia, Rodentia, Muridae. The transcript is spliced from 8 exons. The record is from RefSeq and is a predicted model, not a curated record.